RNAcentral lists this non-coding RNA (26 nucleotides) under Homo sapiens (human). The record is from RNAcentral. Lineage: Eukaryota; Metazoa; Chordata; Mammalia; Primates; Hominidae.
UAGCAGAUGUCGUGGAUCCUGGAACA